GAGGACAGCCCGGGGUCCUCAGGAUCAGGACCCCUGUGUGAUUAGCUCUGAAGCUAACUCGAGCUAACCGUGUCAAACAGAGAAACUGAAACAUGGAACAAGUGAAGCUGGAGGAGGAGCACAGAGGAGGAGCAGAGGAGCAGGAGGAGCAGGAGGAGCACAGAGAGGAGCCAGAGGAGCCAGAAGAGCCAGAACUGUGCAUGAAACCGGAGCCCAGAGUAUUCUUUUUUAAGAUGGUCACUGUCAAAACUGAAGACGAUGAAGACAAGUCCUCUGUGCUUCAUCAAAGACCAACUGAGAAGAACAGAGAGGAAACCAACGGAGAGGAGUGUGGAGCAGACCAGAGACCAUACAGCUGUUCAGACCAGAGACCAUACAGCUGUUCAGACAGUGAGGAGCAGAGGGAGGAGACAGAAGAGCAGAUGGUGGACUGGCCUCUGCACUGGGAUCACACAUCCACACGAGGAGAGCCGGAGCCGGACUUCUCUGUGGGAGCGAAGGGGAAUCGGCUCCGCUGCUCCUGGUGUGGGAAGGAGUUUGUGCGUUUUUCCGAGUUACAGAGACACGUGCUGAUUCACACCGGACAAAAACCAUUUAGGUGUCCAUUUUGUGCACAAUGCUUCCGACGCAAAAGCAACUUAAAGCGACACACGAGAGUUCACACCGGAGAGAAACCUUUCGGGUGUCCAGUUUGCGAGAAGGCCUUUGCCUACAAGCAAAACCUGGAGAAACACACGUGCGCGGAUUUAGAGGAGCGGACUUCGAACGUGGACGAGGGGAAACCAUACAGGUGCUCAGAAUGUGGCAAAGGAUUCACACGCAUUUCAAAUUUACACAUUCACAACUUGGUCCACACACAAGAGCGCACCCAAAAAUGUUCCGUCUGCGAGAAAGCGUUCAAACAAAAGGCCAGUCUGACUCGACAUCUCAAACUGCACCAUCACAUCCACCGCAGCGGGAGGGCAUCAGGGGCAGCAGACGAGGACACGGUGGCCAAACAGCGCUGUCCUGACUGCGGGAAGGAGUUUUCACGUAAAUACGACGUGACGCGGCACAUGAGGACACACACGGGCGAGAAACCUUUCAGGUGUCCAGUUUGCGGUCAAGGAUUUGCCGUAAAGAGCAACGUGAAGGUGCACAUGGCCACGCACUCCGAGGAGAGACCUUUCAGGUGUCCCUUCUGUGAUAAAGGAUUCACACAAGACAGUUCCAUGAAGAGACACAUGGUCGUGCACACGUAGACCCUGCAGCUGUACAGUCUGGAGCCUUCAGUUUGUCGUGAUACCAACAUUUCAAACUAUUUCCAUACUAAGGAAUAGACUCGAUACUCAAUACUGAUAAAAACUCUUUUAGACAAAACACUGCGGUUCCAUAUGAAAUGUUGUACUUUGUCCUUUUCUCUGUGUAAUGCCUCAGUGUCCAGAAGGUUCCGUGGAGUAUGACCGUUGUCUGUAUCUGCUACUGACAGAAACCUCAAUUUCACCCUUUGGGGAUCAAUAAAGUGUCUCUGUCCAUCUGGAGGACGCACAGCCGUGUCACAGUGGAUUUUGUAUUUACUCAGUUUUAUUUUAUUCUUGUACAUUGACAAAUCUUUGUAUUUAUGAGUCAUAAUAAAGAUCAGGACUAAUCAGCUCUGUGGAACUAAUAACAAGACAUUUAUUUAAAAUCUGUUUCUGAAACUAUAAACUGUUAAGUUAUUAAAGCAUUUUCACUGAAUCUUGUGUUUUAAAUGUGAUUUUUGGAUUUAAAGCGGCUGCGUUAUGUCUGUGUCCCUCAGUCGUCCAGGUCUGAUCCAGAGCAAAAGACCAAGUUUAAAUCUGUCACUGGACAAAAUGUAGGAGUGAAGACGUUUGUCUGCUCGUCCAAGACACUUCUUCAGUUCUGGUCAGUUUCCUGCUGGACACUGCCUUACAUCUGUCUGAAGGGGGCGCUAACGACACUGAAAAUAACACACCUGUUUGUUUAGUUUCUGUUUGUUAAUUUGACUCAGGCACAGUUCACAUUUAUGUCUGAGUCAAACUCAGCGUCAUCAUUCAAGCCCCUAAUGGCUCCUCUCACACCUAUUAGCAUCCUGGCUAUUAGCAUCCUGGCUAUUAGCAUCCUGGGUAGUUCUAUUGUUUUUAUAAAUAGGAGGUAGAUGAUGUCUAUUCUGUUCAGUCUUUCCUAAAGGUGCUUUUAUUAUCUCGGUGGAAUCAGAAUCGUUAUUGGAAUCGAGGAGCAGCUGAAACACGAGGGUAGAAACAGAAAACGUUUUGUUCCAAAGCAAAGGCCAUUUAUUUAAGAUAUUACAACAUUUUAAAAUUGAACAAUAGUUUGGAUUUACACUGACCUGGUCCAGAUCAGGGUCAGUCACUGCAAAACCACCUGAGAUCCACCUGUGAAAGUGUCGUCCUCACUUUGAGACGUUUGGGCCUUUAGGUCGUCCUCACUUUGAGACGUUUGGGCCUUUAGGUCGUCCUCACUUUGAGACGUUUAGGUCGUCCUCACUUUGAGACGUUUGGGCCUUUAGGUCGUCCUCACUUUGAGACGUUUAGGUCGUCCUCACUUUGAGACGUUUGGGCCUUUAGGUCGUCCUCACUUUGAGACGUUUAGGUCGUCCUCACUUUGAGACGUUUGGGCCUUUAGGAGGUCGUCCUCACUUUGAGACGUUUGGGCCUUUAGGAGGUCGUCCUCACUUUGAGACGUUUAGGCGUUUAGGUCGUCCUCACUUUGAGACGUUUGGGCGUUUAGGUCGUCCUCACUUUGAGACGUUUAGGACGUCGUCCAGUGGAGUCUCACCCUGACAGAGACUUACUGCAGCUCAGGUUUAGACAAAAUGAGAUGUUUAUCAGAACAGAUUUUAAAAUGUGCUGACGUGUUUUUAAACUGUGGCGCACGGCUCCUCCAGGAGGGACGGCUCCUCCAGGAGGGACGGCUCCUCCAGGAGGGACGGCUCCUCCAGGAGGGACGGCUCCUCCAGGAGGGACGGCUCCUCCAGGAGGGACCAGGACAGACGCCAUUUUGUGGGUUUGACUCUUUUAAAGUUCAUCUGACCCACUUUUCUAUUCUUUUUUUUUAAACUAAAGUGGAAAUGAGGUAGUCCACUUUAGUCCAGGGUUAGUCCUGGUUUAGUCCUGGUUCAGUCCUGGUUCAGUCCUGGUUUAGUCCUGGUUUAGUCCCGGUUCAGUCCUGGUUCAGUCCUGGUUUAGUCCUGGUUUAGUCCUGGUUUCGUCCUGGUUCAGUCCUGGUU
RNA transcript from Periophthalmus magnuspinnatus, 3229 nucleotides. It is a transcript of the gene named gastrula zinc finger protein XlCGF8.2DB-like, with no coding region annotated. The record is from RefSeq and is a predicted model, not a curated record. The transcript has 3 exons. Lineage: Eukaryota; Metazoa; Chordata; Actinopteri; Gobiiformes; Gobiidae.